RNAcentral lists this ribosomal RNA (399 nucleotides) under uncultured bacterium. Its description in RNAcentral is "bacterial SSU rRNA". It matches the Rfam family "Bacterial small subunit ribosomal RNA", at positions 28 to 419 of the family's 1533-position model. The record is from RNAcentral.
GACGAACGCUGGCGGCGUACUUAAUGCAUGCAAGUCGAGCGGGGUCCAUUCAGUGGCAACACUGAUGAGGACCUAGCGGCGAACGGGUGCGUAACACGUGAGCAACCUGCCCCGAAGUCUGGGAUAACACCGGGAAACCAGUGCUAAUACCGGAUGUCCCCCACCGGACCGCAUGGCCUGGUGAGGAAAGAUUUAUCGCUUCGGGAGGGACUCGCGGGCUAUCAGCUGUUGGUGGGGUAACGGCCUACCAAGGCAUCGACGGCUAGCUGGUCUGAGAGGACGACCAGCCACACUGGGACUGAGACACGGCCCAGACUCCUACGGGAGGCAGCAGCAGGGAAUAUUGCGCAAUGGGCGAAAGCCUGACGCAGUAACGCCGCGUGGGGGAUGAAGGCCUUC